AGAAGUGUACAACAUUUUUUCCUUUAUCACUUUAUGUGAAAAAGAAAAAAGAAAAAUGCCGCUAUCAAAACUUGUUGAAAUUUACCUCAAUAUGGCGAUUAAUAAACAUAGAAACAGUUUACAUAACCACACAGACGUAUUUAUGUUGGUAACACGUGUUUGUUAUCGAAGGAAUUUCCGUUCGUGGGCACAGGACGAGAAUACAUACGUGUCGAUGACCUGCCUGAUAACUGGAACCAACCUAACGGAAAAUACGAAAUGCGCUAUAUGAGAAAGGAAUUAAUUUAUAAUUUGACUAUAUCUACCGAGAAUGCGCAGACAACAAUCACUCUAAUGGAAAUGUCAACUAAGCACGGGCAUACUAUAAAAGUCAACACCGAUUUGUUGCAACAUUUAUAUGUUUUGGGAUCGUGUGGUCAACGAACUCAUCCGACCAACGAUAAAUUUGCCACCUGAUUCAGACGAGAGAUGUACAUUAGGGUGGAACAUUUUUUGAAUUUCGAGGCAUAUCUUGAUGGCCACUUGAGAAAACAUGUCUUAUAGUCCCCAGAUUCAAGAUAUGAAGGAAUUUUCAACUUGCGGUUCCAUAUAAGACAGCGACUUGAAAGGA
Molecule: long non-coding RNA, 610 nt
Organism: Contarinia nasturtii (swede midge)
Lineage: Eukaryota; Metazoa; Arthropoda; Insecta; Diptera; Cecidomyiidae
Exons: 3
Source: RefSeq, a predicted model, not a curated record